RNAcentral lists this ribosomal RNA (305 nucleotides) under uncultured bacterium. RNAcentral describes it as "bacterial SSU rRNA". It matches the Rfam family "Bacterial small subunit ribosomal RNA", at positions 337 to 634 of the family's 1533-position model. The record is from RNAcentral.
GCCUACGGGGGGCAGCAGUGGGGAAUAUUGCGCAAUGGGCGAAAGCCUGACGCAGCGACACCGCGUGAGGGAUGAAGGUCUUCGGAUCGUAAACCUCUGUCAGCAGGGAAGAACGGUCACUGUGCUAAUCAGCAGUGAAUUGACGGUACCUGCAAAGGAAGCACCGGCUAACUCCGUGCCAGCAGCCGCGGUAAUACGGAGGGUGCGAGCGUUAAUCGGAAUUACCGGGCGUAAAGCGCUCGUAGGCGGUAUGUCAAGUCAAGGGUGAAAUCCCCGCGCUCAACGUGGGAACUGCCUUUGAAACU